CAAGACACUGUCCAACGGGACAAUUCCUCACAACACUGCCAACAACCUCACACAGGCUUUUCUCAAAAGUGUGGAAGAAGUCCUGUCCUCUCCUGGACUGCCAGAGCAGUCCACCCCGGUGGUCAGCAGUUUGAUCGAGACAGUGGACAGGGUGAUGGACCAUAUGGUGACAAACAUGGAGCCCACCUCGAGCGCCCUCUUUUCCCUGGGUGGAGCAUCUUCAGUCGCAGAUUACUCUCUGAUGAAAUUCUCACAGAACUUCAAUUUGCCAAAUUACCGUUUCCCCACACAAGGGAGGAGCUACAUCUCUGUGCCUGGGGAGGCGUUUGC
Molecule: long non-coding RNA, 330 nt
Organism: Nematolebias whitei (Rio pearlfish)
Lineage: Eukaryota; Metazoa; Chordata; Actinopteri; Cyprinodontiformes; Rivulidae
Exons: 4
Source: RefSeq, a predicted model, not a curated record